Long non-coding RNA from Sinocyclocheilus anshuiensis, 948 nucleotides. RefSeq lists it as uncharacterized. The transcript has 3 exons. NCBI's taxonomy places the organism in Eukaryota, Metazoa, Chordata, Actinopteri, Cypriniformes, Cyprinidae. The record is from RefSeq and is a predicted model, not a curated record.
UAGGCUGUUAAAGACACGAUUCUUCUGAUUGAGGCCAUUUUGAAUUUUCAGUCCAACGGGUGACAGGACUGCAUUUUUCUGCACUGCUAUCAACUUAAAGGCACUGAAAAGGUAAGAAUUAAAUCACAUAUGAGCAGAUUAAUUGUUGAAUGCUUUAAAUGUCACCAAAUAUGUUAUGAUAAAGCAAAAUGUUUGCUGUAUUAGCUGGUUCACAAGUACUCCUGCAUUUACGUUAGCCUUGAAGCUAAAAUAAGCUAACAGUUAACGAUUUCGCGCCACAUUUUUCGUUUUCUUGAUCGACACUUUAAGUAAUAUACUUUUGUUUUAACGUUUUUAUCCACUCAGUAUUAAGCAUGUGAGUUACGUAGUUAUGGAUUAAUUGGGUUUUACGGCUGUAAUUUAGUUGUAAUUUGGAUUAUGUACCCAAUAUGCCUUAAACUAAUGCUUGUAUAUAACUAAUAAAGUUAUUUGACUGUUUUCCUUCAUUAUCCUUUGAAAUAAUAUGAAAUAUGUCUUCAAACAUUAGGAAAAAAGUAGUUUCCUACUCAUUUAACGUUACACAAAUGACUGAAGAGUCAGAGUUAGCAGAGACGUUUAUUCUGUGUCCGAGUUUGGCUGUACGGGAGUUUGGGGAAAGUACCAUACGGUAAUCGCUUUACGUUUCUUUCAUUUUAAGGAAUUUGACAUCAGCAUUGAGCUCAUUUAUGACUCCGGCGCUUCUCCGUCAUAAAUCUUCUCCGUCAGAGGCCAGCCGCACCGAAAAAGCAGUUUGACGUCAAAAUUGAGUUCUCAUUAAGACUGGGGCACUACUGAACUAUUAUCAUGUGAGGAGCAAGGGACAAGACUAAAAUCUUCUCCAUCAGAGACCAACUGCCCUGAAAAAGGAUCUGGAUGAUGAAGAUCCAAGAAGAUCCAAUCACGUCCCAUCAACAAUCCCACACCUCUGAA